This 1110-nucleotide ribosomal RNA is filed under the name Acinetobacter calcoaceticus. RNAcentral's name for it is "bacterial SSU rRNA". It matches the Rfam family "Bacterial small subunit ribosomal RNA", at positions 61 to 1166 of the family's 1533-position model. Lineage: Bacteria; Pseudomonadati; Pseudomonadota; Gammaproteobacteria; Moraxellales; Moraxellaceae. The record is from RNAcentral.
GUCGAGCGGAGUGAUGGUGCUUGCACUAUCACUUAGCGGCGGACGGGUGAGUAAUGCUUAGGAAUCUGCCUAUUAGUGGGGGACAACAUUUCGAAAGGAAUGCUAAUACCGCAUACGUCCUACGGGAGAAAGCAGGGGAUCUUCGGACCUUGCGCUAAUAGAUGAGCCUAAGUCGGAUUAGCUAGUUGGUGGGGUAAAGGCCUACCAAGGCGACGAUCUGUAGCGGGUCUGAGAGGAUGAUCCGCCACACUGGGACUGAGACACGGCCCAGACUCCUACGGGAGGCAGCAGUGGGGAAUAUUGGACAAUGGGCGCAAGCCUGAUCCAGCCAUGCCGCGUGUGUGAAGAAGGCCUUAUGGUUGUAAAGCACUUUAAGCGAGGAGGAGGCUACUUUAGUUAAUACCUAGAGAUAGUGGACGUUACUCGCAGAAUAAGCACCGGCUAACUCUGUGCCAGCAGCCGCGGUAAUACAGAGGGUGCAAGCGUUAAUCGGAUUUACUGGGCGUAAAGCGCGCGUAGGCGGCUAAUUAAGUCAAAUGUGAAAUCCCCGAGCUUAACUUGGGAAUUGCAUUCGAUACUGGUUAGCUAGAGUGUGGGAGAGGAUGGUAGAAUUCCAGGUGUAGCGGUGAAAUGCGUAGAGAUCUGGAGGAAUACCGAUGGCGAAGGCAGCCAUCUGGCCUAACACUGACGCUGAGGUGCGAAAGCAUGGGGAGCAAACAGGAUUAGAUACCCUGGUAGUCCAUGCCGUAAACGAUGUCUACUAGCCGUUGGGGCCUUUGAGGCUUUAGUGGCGCAGCUAACGCGAUAAGUAGACCGCCUGGGGAGUACGGUCGCAAGACUAAAACUCAAAUGAAUUGACGGGGGCCCGCACAAGCGGUGGAGCAUGUGGUUUAAUUCGAUGCAACGCGAAGAACCUUACCUGGGCCUUGACAUAGUAAGAACUUUCCAGAGAUGGAUUGGUGCCUUCGGGAACUUACAUACAGUGCUGCAUGGCUGUCGUCAGCUCGUGUCGUGAGAUGUUGGGGUAGUCCCGCACGAGCGCAACCCUUUUCCUUAUUUGCCAGCGAGUAAUGUCGGAACUUAAGGAAUACUGCCCAGUUGACAAACCUG